Alligator sinensis (Chinese alligator) is the source of this 403-nucleotide long non-coding RNA. RefSeq lists it as uncharacterized. Lineage: Eukaryota; Metazoa; Chordata; Crocodylia; Alligatoridae. The transcript has 3 exons. The record is from RefSeq and is a predicted model, not a curated record.
GUGGGAAUGGUCCAAGGAACAGAUCCUGCACUGCAGCACCUUGGGCUCAGUGAGGAGGAGGAAGAACAAAGCUGCGAAGCUGAUGCUGAUAGUGCGCAUCCCAGUGCUCGCCAUCCAUGCAAAAUAAGCAUGGACUUGGAGUGAGCAGAAGGCACGUCCCCCUGGUGAAGAGUGAGAUUUCUGGACUCGUGGGGAUGGAAGUGGUUGGUGCCUUUCUUCUCAUGCUGAACAAGGAACUCAGGGGAGCAGCUAGGACCCCAAAGGAUAGUUUACCGCUUUCUCUCUCUGCCCCGUAGAGUUUGUGUCCAGAGCCUGAAUCAGCAGCCCAGCUUCCCGCUGCAAGGCAGUCCUCGGACUUACGACACAACUGGUUCCUGGAGACCGCAUCUUAAGUCGAAACACU